Regulatory RNA element from Clostridium acidisoli DSM 12555, 86 nucleotides. It matches the Rfam family "pan motif". The record is from Rfam. NCBI's taxonomy places the organism in Bacteria, Bacillati, Bacillota, Clostridia, Eubacteriales, Clostridiaceae.
CGGGUAGUAUCAUUUUGAACUGCACCUUUAGUGUUAAUUAUAUAGAUUAUUUUUUAUGCUCAUAUCAAUUUGAAUGGGACAUUACA